GGUGAACGCUAGCGGCAGGCUUAAUACAUGCAAGUUGAGGGGCAGCAUGAUAUACGCGAGUAUAUUGAUGGCGACCGGCGGACGGGUGAGUAAUAGGUAGGAGACCUACCUCAUACAGGGGGAUAGCAUAGAGAAAUCUGUGGUAAUACCCCAUGAGGUUAUAUGAAUAGAGGCAUAUAAUCAAAGCAUAAGCGAUUAUGCGGUAUGAGAGGGGCCUACUGACCAUUAGCUAGUUGGUGAGGUAAGGGCUCACCAAGGCGAAGAUGGUUAGGGGUUUUGAGAGAGAGACCCCCCACAUUGGAACUGAGACACGGCCCAGACUCCUACGGGAGGCAGCAGUGGGGAAUAUUGCGCAAUGGGCGGAAGCCUGACGCAGCGACGCCGCGUGAGGGAUGACGGCCUUCGGGUUGUAAACCUCUUUCAGCAGGGACGAAUGUAGACGGUACCUGUAGAAGAAGCACCGGCCAACUACGUGCCAGCAGCCGAC
RNAcentral lists this ribosomal RNA (487 nucleotides) under uncultured bacterium. Its description in RNAcentral is "bacterial SSU rRNA". It matches the Rfam family "Bacterial small subunit ribosomal RNA", at positions 28 to 518 of the family's 1533-position model. The record is from RNAcentral.